Molecule: transfer RNA, 64 nt
Filed under: Caprella scaura
Lineage: Eukaryota; Metazoa; Arthropoda; Malacostraca; Amphipoda; Caprellidae
Description: tRNA-Asn
Source: RNAcentral
UUAAUAGAAGCCAAAUUUAGAGGCGCAUCUUUGUUAAUGAUGUUAUUGGUUACACCCUAUUAAU